RNAcentral lists this ribosomal RNA (813 nucleotides) under Cladonia fimbriata. RNAcentral's name for it is "mitochondrial SSU rRNA". It matches the Rfam family "Bacterial small subunit ribosomal RNA", at positions 360 to 1161 of the family's 1533-position model. The record is from RNAcentral. Lineage: Eukaryota; Fungi; Ascomycota; Lecanoromycetes; Lecanorales; Cladoniaceae.
AAUGUAUAGCAAUAGCUGAUUGCACCAACAAAUAGUUGAUGCAAAAUUGAUUAUAUCAAAUAAAAUUCUAGGUAGAUUUUUGAUAAUGACAUUGCUUACCUAAGUCUUGACCAAAUUACGUGCCAGCAGUCGCGGUAAUACGUAAAAGACUAGUGUUAUUCAUCUUUAAUUGGUUUAAAGGGUACCUAGACAGCGAAUAAAGCCAUAGUAGGGACUAAUUCGCUAGAGUUACUUAUGAGGGGGUAUUAAAGUACUGCAGGUGUAGAGAUGAAAUUUUGUUAUACCUCUUCUCGUAUGAGAAACUAUGGCACAGGUAUAGGUGAAAGCAUCCCCUUAUGUGAUAACUGACGUUGAGGGACGAAGGCUUUGUGUCGCGAACAGGAUUAGAUACCCCAAUAGUCAAAGCAGAAAAUGAUGAAUGUCAUAGAUUAGAUAUGCAAUUUAUUCUAUAAAUGAAAGUGUAAGCAUUCCACCUCAAGAGUAAUUUGGCAACAUUGGAACUGAAAUCAUUAGACCGUUUCUGAAACCAGUAGUGAAGUAUGUUGUUUAAUUUGAUGAUACGCAAAAAACCUUACCACAAUUUGAAUAUUUAUAUAUAUCUUUUAUUGAUUUCUACUAACAUAUUUGUAGACAAUUAAAAUGAUGCCUCUGUCCCGUUUGUGAGACUAAGCAUCAAAAAAGAUAAUAUAUUUACAAGCGUUGCACGGCUGUCUUCAGUUAAUGUCGCGAGAUUUUGGUUAGUUCCAUUAAAUUAACGUAAACCCUUACUUUAUUUAUAUAUAAAGUAGUUCUCCGCUAUAUUGGAUAUGAUAA